Molecule: ribosomal RNA, 547 nt
Filed under: uncultured eukaryote
Lineage: Eukaryota
Description: SSU rRNA
Rfam family: Eukaryotic small subunit ribosomal RNA
Source: RNAcentral
CGAUUGUAGUCAUAUGCUUGUCUCAAAGAUUAAGCCAUGCAUGUCUAAGUAUAAGCAAUUAUACCGCGAAACUGCGAAUGGCUCAUUAUAUAAGUUAUCGUUUAUUUGAUAGCACAUUACUACUUGGAUAACCGUGGUAAUUCUAGAGCUAAUACAUGCUAAAAAUCCCGACUUCGGAAGGGAUGUAUUUAUUAGAUUAAAAGCCAACGCCCUUCGGGGCUCUCUGGUGAUUCAUAAUAACUGGUCGAAUCGCAUGGCCUUGCGCCGGCGAUGGUUCAUUCAAAUUUCUUCCCUAUCAACUUUCGAUGCGAGGGUCUUGUCCUCGCAUGGUUGCAACGGGUAACGGAGGGUUAGGGCUCGACCCCGGAGAAGGAGCCUGAGAAACGGCUACUACAUCCAAGGAAGGCAGCAGGCGCGCAAAUUACCCAAUCCCGACACGGGGAGGUAGUGACAAUAAAUACUGAUACAGGGCUCUUUUGGGUCUUGUAAUCGGAAUGAGUACAAUUUAAAUCCCUUAACGAGGAACAAUUGGAGGGCAAGUCUGGUA